This is a long non-coding RNA of Passer montanus (Eurasian tree sparrow), 543 nucleotides long. RefSeq lists it as uncharacterized. The record is from RefSeq and is a predicted model, not a curated record. Lineage: Eukaryota; Metazoa; Chordata; Aves; Passeriformes; Passeridae. The transcript has 4 exons.
GGCUGCAAAAUGGAGGAGGCUCUCAAGCAGCAGAGAAGAAAAAAGAGAAAUUUUGAAAAGGAAUUGGAAGACAUAUGCACCAGAUUCUGUUCCUUGAAGAACUGUAAGAAUAGGUAUUUGUGACCAGUGGGGAAAAAAACCCAAACCCUCAAUAAGCCUUCAUGCUCCUUCCUGUAAAGUCAUCUAAAACAGGGCUACACAGCUCGUGGCCUAGAAGAAGAUAUCCUGUGUGCAGCAAAGCACUUCCAAGGUGUGGAGCAGAACAAAGAGAACUUUGAUGAUUCUGGAGGCAAUAACUUCAAACUAUAGCUUCAUGCCUUUGCUGAGAACAUAGAUUCUACUGCCAGGAAGUAACAAUGGCAGCAAAACCGCAUUCUGUUGGUUGAAAAGAGCAUUCAGAGCUGGGGCUGUGAGACUACGCCAACCUUUCCCUUGUGUAAUGUCAAUGUCGGCUAUCACUUUGGCAGAAUCACCCAGCUCAGUGAAGACAGAAAACCCCUCCUUUCCUCCUGUUUUUCAUCUGCUGGUGGCAUUCCAAGUGAC